Pongo abelii (Sumatran orangutan) is the source of this 117-nucleotide unclassified non-coding RNA. It matches the Rfam family "Metazoan signal recognition particle RNA". Rfam says of the family: The signal recognition particle (SRP) is a universally conserved ribonucleoprotein. It is involved in the co-translational targeting of proteins to membranes. Lineage: Eukaryota; Metazoa; Chordata; Mammalia; Primates; Hominidae. The record is from Ensembl.
GCCGGGCGCGGUGGCUCACGCCUGUAAUCCCAGCACUUUGGGAGGCCGAGGUGGGCGGAUCACCUGAGGUCGGGAGUUCGAGACUAGCCUGACCAACAUGGAGAAACCCCAUCUCUA